This 522-nucleotide ribosomal RNA is filed under the name Pipistrellus abramus. RNAcentral's name for it is "partial 16S ribosomal RNA". It matches the Rfam family "Bacterial large subunit ribosomal RNA", at positions 1803 to 2565 of the family's 2925-position model. The record is from RNAcentral. Lineage: Eukaryota; Metazoa; Chordata; Mammalia; Chiroptera; Vespertilionidae.
UUUACCAAAAACAUCACCUCUAGCAUAAAAAGUAUUAGAGGCACUGCCUGCCCGGUGACCUAAAUUUAACGGCCGCGGUAUCCUGACCGUGCAAAUCACUUGUUCCCUAAAUAGGGACUUGUAUGAAUGGCCCCAUGAGGGUUUUGCUGUCUCUUAUUUCAAAUCAGUGAAAUUGACAUUCCCGUGAAGAGGCGGGAAUAAGAAAAUAAGACGAGAAGACCCUAUGGAGCUUUAAUUCACUAACUCAUAUUACUAUCCUAACUCCUCACGAGGAAUAAACCCACUAUUAGUGAGUUAGCAAUUUAGGUUGGGGUGACCUCGGAAUAAAACCUAACCUCCGAGAAACAUUUUUAAGACCUACAAGUCAAAAUCAUAUACUAACACACAAUGAUCCGCCAAUGACGAUCAACGAAACAAGUUACCCUAGGGAUAACAGCGCAAUCCUAUUCAAGAGUCCAUAUCGACAAUUAGGGUUUACGACCUCGAUGUUGGAUCAGGACAUCCCAAUGGUGUAGCAGCUAU